RNAcentral lists this ribosomal RNA (467 nucleotides) under uncultured bacterium. RNAcentral describes it as "partial 16S ribosomal RNA". It matches the Rfam family "Bacterial small subunit ribosomal RNA", at positions 29 to 507 of the family's 1533-position model. The record is from RNAcentral.
ACGAACGCUGGCGGCGUGCUUAACACCUGCAAGUCGAACGGAAAGGCCCUGCUUUUGUGGGGUGCUCGAGUGGCGAACGGGUGAGUAACACGUGAGUAACCUGCCCUUGACUUUGGGAUAACUUCAGGAAACUGGGGCUAAUACCGGAUAGGAGCUCCUGCUGCAUGGUGGGGGUUGGAAAGUUUCGGCGGUUGGGGAUGGGCUCGCGGCUUAUCAGCUUGUUGGUGGGGUAGUGGCUUACCAAGGCUUUGACGGGUAGCCGGCCUGAGAGGGUGACCGGCCACAUUGGGACUGAGAUACGGCCCAGACUCCUACGGGAGGCAGCAGUGGGGAAUAUUGCACAAUGGGCGGAAGCCUGAUGCAGCAACGCCGCGUGCGGGAUGACGGCCUUCGGGUUGUAAACCGCUUUCGCCUGUGACGAAGCGUGAGUGACGGUAAUGGGUAAAGAAGCACCGGCUAACUACGUG